GCCAGCUCUUUUCUUGAUAAUCGCAUGCGUGUAUGGUCGUUCGCUUAUGCUAUCGUUGUUUCUUACAGGUUUGGAGGCCAACCAAGACAAGAGCAAGUGCCAGCAGCAGUUCGACGAUUACAAGGAGUGCAAGAAGAAAGAGAGGGAGGCUCGGCUUGAGCGGAACAAAAGCCGAUCACUCUUUGGGUGAACAAGAGCAUUCCACCUGAGCAAUUUGCUGGUCAUGUGCAAUUAGUCGUUUCCUUAAGUGAUGGAGUGAAAUCACAGCUUCUUUGGUUUCGUGACGAUCCUUUGUAACUUGUGCAAGGAGCAAUUUAGGAAAUAGUAGACUAGUCUCUAGGUUGAGGGAAAUGUAAGGUCUGAGAACAGCUCAUUAGCUCAGUGGCUUUAGCGAGCAAGUCAGAUGAGCAAAGGAUGUAUUUUGAGAGUCAUCAGGUAUCAUGACACGAGGGUUUGUUCAAUAAAAUUGUAUUUCCUCUUGUACUCCAAAAUAUUAUCGUGAGUUCUUGCUGUUUUACA
This is a long non-coding RNA of Setaria italica (foxtail millet), 519 nucleotides long. RefSeq lists it as uncharacterized. Lineage: Eukaryota; Viridiplantae; Streptophyta; Magnoliopsida; Poales; Poaceae. The transcript has 2 exons. The record is from RefSeq and is a predicted model, not a curated record.